This 475-nucleotide ribosomal RNA is filed under the name uncultured bacterium. RNAcentral describes it as "bacterial SSU rRNA". It matches the Rfam family "Bacterial small subunit ribosomal RNA", at positions 335 to 801 of the family's 1533-position model. The record is from RNAcentral.
ACUCCUACGGGAGGCAGCAGUGGGGAAUAUUGGACAAUGGGGGGAACCCUGAUCCAGCCAUGCCGCGUGUGUGAAGAAGGCCUUAUGGUUGUAAAGCACUUUAAAGCGAGGAGGAGGCUACUGAGACUAAUACUCUUGGAUAGUGGACGUUACUCGCAGAAUAAGCACCGGCUAACUCUGUGCCAGCAGCCGCGGUAAUACAGAGGGUGCGAGCGUUAAAUCGGAUUUACUGGGCGUAAAGCGUGCGUAGGCGGCUUUUAAGUCGGAUGUGAAAUCCCCGAGCUUAACUUGGGAAUUGCAUUCGAUACUGGGGAAGCUAGAGUAUGGGAGAGGAUGGUAGAAUUCCAGGUGUAGCGGUGAAAUGCGUAGAGAUCUGGAGGAAUACCGAUGGCGAAGGCAGCAUCUGGCCUAAUACUGACGCUGAGGUACGAAAGCAUGGGAGCAAACAGGAUUAGAUACCCCGUGUAGGAUAGCG